RNAcentral lists this ribosomal RNA (210 nucleotides) under uncultured bacterium. RNAcentral describes it as "partial 16S ribosomal RNA". It matches the Rfam family "Bacterial small subunit ribosomal RNA", at positions 524 to 736 of the family's 1533-position model. The record is from RNAcentral.
UACGGAGGGUGCAAGCGUUAUCCGGAUUCAUUGGGUUUAAAGGGUGCGUAGGCGGUCUAAUAAGUCAGUGUGAAAGCCUUCCGCUUAACGGGAGAACUGCCAUUGAUACUGUUAGACUUGAAUCUAGGUUGAAGUGGUGGAAUACAUCAUGUAGCGGUGAAUGCAUAGAUAUGAUGUAGAACGCCGAUUGCGAAGGCACUCACUAAGUUA